Ochotona princeps (American pika) is the source of this 325-nucleotide long non-coding RNA. RefSeq lists it as uncharacterized. The transcript is spliced from 4 exons. Lineage: Eukaryota; Metazoa; Chordata; Mammalia; Lagomorpha; Ochotonidae. The record is from RefSeq and is a predicted model, not a curated record.
ACUGGACAGCAGCCGGGGCUGCGCGGCGGGGCCGACGGGCGGGCCGGGCCUGGAGAGCCCCUCAGUCCCACAGCCCAGCCAUGCGUCUGAAAACCUUGAGCCCAGCCAAGACGGAAGGAAAUGGUAGCGGAGCGCGGCCUGCUUGAGCUGCUGUGUUAAAGUGAGGCCGAGGAAUAAAUUCUCAUGCAGAAGACCAUAAAGGAGGUUUCCACAGUGAUGGAGGGAAAAGAAACCAACCUGCAUUACCUUUGAAAUACGCCAGAAAGUGACCUUCCAGAGAGAUGGUCUUGAGGAAAAAGAUCCACUACGUAUCAGAAUGAAAUCU